UACGGAGGGUGCGAGCGUUGUCCGGAAUUAUUGGGCGUAAAGAGCUCGUAGGCGGUCUGUCGCGUCUGCUGUGAAAACUCGGGGCUUAACCCCGGGCCUGCAGUGGGUACGGGCAGACUAGAGUGCGGUAGGGGAGACUGGAAUUCCUGGUGUAGCGGUGGAAUGCGCAGAUAUCAGGAGGAACACCAAUAGCGAAGGCAGCUCGCUGGGACGUUACUGACACUGAGGCGCGAAAGCGUGGGGAGCGAACAGG
Molecule: ribosomal RNA, 253 nt
Filed under: uncultured bacterium
Lineage: Bacteria
Description: partial 16S ribosomal RNA
Rfam family: Bacterial small subunit ribosomal RNA
Source: RNAcentral